UCACUAUUUUCUAUGUAUUUUUAAUUUUUAUUGAAGUUAGAAUUUGAUUGAUAAUCACGGUAUCCUAACGGCAACAUCGUGAUCAUAUCAGUACACUAUAAUAUUCAAUCUCUUCUUCUUUUUUAUAUCCUAUCAUAGAAAUCUCAUUAUUUUAGAUCCGUCGUUGUAUCUCAAGCUCUCUUGUGUGAAAUCUCAUUCUUCCAAUGAUACAGGAUGCAUAAUGGUUAACCUUCGAUCG
This 238-nucleotide long non-coding RNA is filed under the name Elaeis guineensis (African oil palm). RNAcentral's name for it is "long non-coding RNA (EGUI_LNC018698)". Lineage: Eukaryota; Viridiplantae; Streptophyta; Magnoliopsida; Arecales; Arecaceae. The record is from RNAcentral.